AGUCAUGGUGUUAAAUAAACUCUGGCUAAAAACCAGCAGCCUGCCUAGUGCCUACCUGUGAAAUUAUGUGAUCAGCAUGAGCGAUAUGACAAGUUCAUACUGGAAAAAACUUGAAACCAAAUGCAGGAAGAAUAGAACUUACAGUAAUUGAGAUCUUUCCCUCGAAUUGGCGACUGGGAGGGUUUUACCAACAGAUGCAAAAGCUGCCAAUGAUAGUUGAGAGAUCGAGCUGCGAGGAAAUCCUUGUGGACUACUUGUCGUGUAGUCACCCUCAAUCACGGAGAUCGUGAAUUUAAUCCUCGAUCCCUUGUUCUAACUAUACGAAAUAAAAGACGUCCACAAAACGAACGAUCUCCAGUUUAUCACCGGCCAAUUGCCACAUAGACAUAUCCUGUACGAAAACCGUUAAUGAGCUUGAACCAGUGAUGUCUAUGUAGUGUAACUGGCAAUUUAUACCCACUGAUAUGCCAGUGUAACUAAUUUAAGCUCCCGAAAUCAACUCCAAGCAUUUGCAAGUCAGCAUGUC
RNAcentral lists this long non-coding RNA (526 nucleotides) under Linum usitatissimum (flax). RNAcentral's name for it is "long non-coding RNA (LUSI_LNC003243)". The record is from RNAcentral. Lineage: Eukaryota; Viridiplantae; Streptophyta; Magnoliopsida; Malpighiales; Linaceae.